GAUCAUUUGUAGUCAAUGUGACACAGACCUCCUAUCAGGCAGAGGAGAACCACAACAUCACACUGGAGUGGACGUUCACCACCAAACCUGACAGAUCCUCCAAAACUCUCAACAUCCUCUGUGAACGCUUCAUCAAUGAUACACUCUCAGUCCUGUUUCAUGUUCAUGAAGGUGUUGAGGUGUCAGAGUCUCAGGAUGAAAAGUUUUCAGGACGAGUCCAGAGUGACAAAGACGCCCUCAGAGAAGGACGAAUCAGACUUCAACUGUCCAGACUCAGGACUGAUGACUCGGGUCUGUACCUGUGUGAGGUCAACACUGAUUAUGGCUUCGGUGUUGGAAGAUGUCGACUCAACGUGACUGGAGGCCAGCAGAAUAAACUAUCCACGCUGAACGCUUCCUGACUACGCCUGCAUUUGUUCGAGAGAAGUUUAGGAGAGGACCCCGUGACACCAAUCAAGAUGGUUUGGGAUGAGAUGGAUGGCAGAGUGAAGGCAAACGGACCAAUGAGUGAUCAGCAUCUCUGGGAAGUCCUUCAAGACUGUUGGAAAACCGAUUCAGGUGACGACCUCAUGAAGCUCACUGAGAGAAUGCCAAGAGUGUGCCAAGUAGUAAUCAAAGCAAAGGGAGGCUAUUUUAAAGAAUCUGAAAUAUAAAACAUGUUUUGAGUUAUUUCACAGUUUUUUGUUUACUACAUAAUUCCAUAUGUGUUCAUUCAUACUUUUGAUGUGUCAGUG
This is a long non-coding RNA of Oreochromis aureus, 734 nucleotides long. NCBI's taxonomy places the organism in Eukaryota, Metazoa, Chordata, Actinopteri, Cichliformes, Cichlidae. The record is from Ensembl.